AGAGUUUGAUCCUGGCUCAGAUUGAACGCUGGCGGCAUGCUUUACACAUGCAAGUCGAACGGCAGCACGGGCUUCGGCCUGGUGGCGAGUGGCGAACGGGUGAGUAAUGCGUCGGAACGCGCCGAGUAGUGGGGGAUAACGCAGCGAAAGCUGUGCUAAUACCGCAUACGUACUGAGGUAGAAAGUGGGGGACCUUCGGGCCUCACGCUAUUCGAGCGGCCGACGUCUGAUUAGCUAGUUGGUGGGGUAAAGGCUCACCAAGGCGACGACCAGUAGCGGGUCUGAGAGGAUGAUCCGCCACACUGGGACUGAGACACGGCCCAGACUCCUACGGGAGGCAGCAGUGGGGAAUUUUGGACAAUGGGCGCAAGCCUGAUCCAGCCAUGCCGCGUGUCUGAAGAAGGCCUUCGGGUUGUAAAGGACUUUUGUCCGGGAGCAAAGCCUACUUGUUA
This 452-nucleotide ribosomal RNA is filed under the name uncultured bacterium. RNAcentral describes it as "bacterial SSU rRNA". It matches the Rfam family "Bacterial small subunit ribosomal RNA", at positions 8 to 462 of the family's 1533-position model. The record is from RNAcentral.